Long non-coding RNA from Octopus bimaculoides (California two-spot octopus), 642 nucleotides. RefSeq lists it as uncharacterized. The record is from RefSeq and is a predicted model, not a curated record. NCBI's taxonomy places the organism in Eukaryota, Metazoa, Mollusca, Cephalopoda, Octopoda, Octopodidae.
UAACAGAUGGUUGUCUAAAUUUAAAUGUGUUAAAAUACAUUAUUCAUACUUAAUGCCAUGUAUUUACUGUAUCACUAUAUCCGCAAUGCGCAAACCACAAAUCCUAAAAUCUAGCUGAACCUUUCAUUUUUUUUUUCUUUUCUUACCCGGAUUUCAGAUCAACAGGCAUCCAUGUUUGACUGAUUAGAGGAGAAGCAACGUGCCGUCAUUAGGUUGUUAACGAAGGAAGGAUGGAAGACGGCUUGACAUUCACAUCAAUCUGCAAGUUGUUUACGGAGAUUGACAUAAUUGACGAAAGAAUUUGGUACAAAAGUGUACAGACAGAUGAAGAAGUUUGAAGAAAGGGACCCCAGCAUUGAGUACACACUACGACACUCAGGGAGACUAUCAGCUGCGAUCACUGACACGAAUUACCAGCGAGUGGAUAAACUGAUAUGCGCGGACAGAUGAGGCACAAUUCAUGAGGUAAAACUGGACUAUGGCUAUAAUGAAUUACAGAAAAUGGUGGAAGACUUUGGGUAUCGGAAAGUGUGUGUAAAGCGGCUACUUCGACAGUUGACGCCUGACUGGAAGGAGAGAAGGGUGGCAGUCUACUCUGCUAGAAGCGUUUGAACCCAAUAAAAGCAUGUUUUCAUUUCUUAA